CAAAGUGUAGCUUAUUUAGUUAAGUAUUUCAUUUACACUGAAGUGAAAUUUGUGCAAAUCAAUUUGCUUUGA
This 72-nucleotide transfer RNA is filed under the name Petrobiellus sp. 2 JZ-2014. RNAcentral describes it as "tRNA-Val". It matches the Rfam family "tRNA". From Rfam's summary of the family: Transfer RNA (tRNA) molecules are approximately 80 nucleotides in length. Their secondary structure includes four short double-helical elements and three loops (D, anti-codon, and T loops). Lineage: Eukaryota; Metazoa; Arthropoda; Insecta; Archaeognatha; Machilidae. The record is from RNAcentral.